CCCGGGGCGGCGGAGCCAUGGAGCCCGCGGGGCCGGAGCCCUCGCUGUACACGGUGAAGGCCCUGCUCAUCCUGGACAGCCACGGGCAGCGCCUCCUGGCCAAGUACUACGACAGCACCUUCCCCACGGCCAAGGAGCAGGCGGCCUUCGAGAGCAGCGUCUUCAGCAAGACCCAGCGGGCGGGCGGUGAGAUCACCUCUCUGGAAGGACUCACCGUCGUCUACAGGAGCAGCGUCGACCUCUUCUUCUACGUGCUGAUGCUGUCGGCCGUGCUCGCCUGCCUCCUCGACACCCUGGGCCACCUCCUGCGGAAGGAGGUGGAGAAGUGCUGGCUGCUGGACAACAUGGAGGGAACCUUCCUGGUGGUGGACGAGAUCGUGGACAGGGGGGUGAUCCUGGAGAGCGACCCCCAGCAAGUGAUCCAGCGGCUGAGCCUGCGGGCCCCGGAGCCGGCAGCGUAUGGCUUCGUCCUCUUCGACUACCUGGCAGGCAGCUCGGAGCGGAGGGACACGGGGGGUACCGGCGGCCACGAAUAGCACCGAGGGCACCCAGCGGGUCCCCUUCGCCCUGUUCCUCAAGCUGCUGGUCCCCUUCCCUCCCCCAGAGCGAUGACAGCCCUGUGUCGGAGCAGAGCACGGCCCAGCAGGAGGUGUGCCCCCCCCCCCCCCCGGCCAAGGGAACCCAGGCAUCCGGCCGGGACGGGCACCCCAAGGUCAGCCUGGCCCCAGCCCCAUCCCAGGGGUCUCGUACCAGCUCUUGCAGCCCACCAAGGAGCACGUCAAGCCACCCCCGCUGACGUGACAGCUCCGGGGUCUCCCCUCAGAGGGGCUGGCUGGAAAGGUGGGACCCCAGCACCGGGGGACACCGGGCAGCAGGACACACGGACGUUCCCCAGCAUCCCCCCUGCUUUGACCCCAGCCCGGACCCCGCGCUCCAGCCUGGAUCCCCAGGAUGGCUCCUGCCCAGCUACGCCGCCUCCAGAAGCCCUUUGCCAGGUCUCGUAUCCGCCCCCGACGUUAAUAAUAUCAAGGGAAAAAUUAAGCGCUAAUGAAGGAGAAUUGAUUCACUGUUUCCACUCGCUCCCGGCUGGAGCCAGCUACAAAUAAAGUUUCCAUCCCAAUUUAGUGUCCUCUCUCCGUCAGCCACAUCAGGUGGUGGGUCCCAUGGGCACAUUGCC
RNA transcript from Grus americana (Whooping crane), 1177 nucleotides. It is a transcript of the gene named COPI coat complex subunit zeta 2, with no coding region annotated. The record is from RefSeq and is a predicted model, not a curated record. NCBI's taxonomy places the organism in Eukaryota, Metazoa, Chordata, Aves, Gruiformes, Gruidae. The transcript is spliced from 10 exons.